CCUACUUCUAGUGAUUGGCCCUCAUGUUAGCGGCAUAACAUCCGGCGAAAAAUGGCGGGGAGACACUUGGCUUUUCACCGCGUUUUUUGACCGGCUACGCUGGACUUCUUUCAACCAAUCAGGAUGCAGAGGACACAGACGCGGCGGGGGUCGGUUCAGAGGGCCACGGAUGCAGCUGCAAGGGUCCAGCAGAGGCGCACCACCCGCCCUUGGAGCCCAGUGAAAGUCAUGCCGCUUGGUGCAGUGCUGAAAGUGUGUCAGAGGUGGGAGGCUCCUGGGCCCAGCCCGCUCUCUCCAAUCGCCAUGCAGAGUCCCAGAGAGGGGACCAACCCCCAUCUAAGCAAACCCAAGCUGGGGAGGGGGUGUACCUGAGACGUACUUCCCACCGACUCACAGAUUCCAAACACACAAAGAUAGAAUAACUGUUUCUCUUGCUUAUACGAGUCUCUACUGGUGAGUGGUUGGUCUGCGCAGUUUAGUCACAUUAACCCAUCAGUGUCUCAGAUACACACAUUCAACAGUUUUACAGUAUGUAGCACUGAUACGUUUCAUAAACGUUGGAUGACUGUCUGUCCGAUGCCACUGCAGGGACUUUACGCCACUUUAAAUAUAGCAUGCUACUGAGCUACCUAGUUAGCCUCCAAUUUAUUUAUUCUGAACUUAAGAAAGGGUUUCAAGUUGCGAAGAAGGACAAAGUAAGAAACCAAAAAUAUACCACUUCCACACAGAAUGGGAGGAGAACUUAUUUUCACUACACGCAGUGUGAUGGUAAUCUAAUCUAAUGUCAUCUCUCAUCAAUGUCACAUGACUUAUACCUAUUUUCUACCGCUUUUUCCUCACGAGGGUCGCGGGGGUGCUGGAGCCUAUCCCAGCUGUCUUUGGGCGAGAGGCGGGGUACACCCUGGACUGGUCGCUAGCCAAUCACAGGGUACAUAUAGACAAACAACCAUUCACACUCACAUUCAUACCUAUGGACAAUUUGGAGUCACCAAUUAACCUAGCAUGUUUUUGGAAUGUGGUCUCCUAGCUGUGAGGUCUGUGCGCUAACCACUUGACCGCUGUGCUGCCCAUAAAAUAAAAUAAUAUCAUAAAAAUAAAUAACUAUAAUUGUCUUUCAAUAUUUUUGAAUGUGAUGCU
Molecule: long non-coding RNA, 1137 nt
Organism: Doryrhamphus excisus (bluestripe pipefish)
Lineage: Eukaryota; Metazoa; Chordata; Actinopteri; Syngnathiformes; Syngnathidae
Source: RefSeq, a predicted model, not a curated record